UACAAGUUAGUUUCACACCUACUGUGCGCCAGGUGCUGAGCUGGAGAUCAGAGAAAUAAAAAAAUGGUCCUGUUUCUGAAGAGUACCCAGUUUAGGGGAGAAGAUAGAAGAGGAAACAGACUGCCACCAUAUGAUGAGCAGACAGUCUCGCGAGGGCAGAGGUCCAGGGAGACGGUAUCUCGCCUAAGGACACUGGGCGAGCAGAGGCUGUGCUGAGCCUGAAGCCCGAGAGCAGGGCUCAGGCUUGGGUGCUCCAGGGACAGCACUGCAGCCUGGAUUCCAAGCCCCCUCGUGUGAGUCCCCGAGGACCCGAACAGCUCUCUUCAAUGGGGACUUUGCUCAGGACCCUCCCACACCACCUGUGGGGGAGCUGCAGCCUGGUUUCAGAGUUGCAUCAUCCACAGCCUUCGCCUAAAGCAUUGGCUACAGGAAACACCUCUAUUGAACUCGUCUUCCUGGAAGCCUCACUACUCAAAGUGUGGUCCUUGGACCAGCAGCGUGGGCAUCACCGGGGAGCCUGUAGGAAAUGCAGACUCUCAGGCCCCACCCCGGAUACACAGAAUCAGAACCUGCACUUCAACAAGAGCCCAGGAGACUCGUGUGCCAUUACAGCUUGAGAAGUGAGAAUGUUUUAAGCAACUGGACUAAGGUGACAGAUGAAUCGCAGGGUGAUGCACGUUUGCUGAGGCUUCCAUGAGCAGCACCCAUGCUGGCAUCUGCCAAUUCGGGGGUAUUGCCCAAGGUCAGAGCUUCCCGGCUCCUGCUGUCAGCCAGGCCUCCUCACAGUCAUGGCAGUGCUGGCCAGCGAGUACUGGGAGGGAAGGGUGUGCAGGCCCCUGUGAGCCCGUCUGCCCAGGGGAGCCAGGACUGCACUGAGACUUGAGGGAACAUUGGAGUUUGCCAGGCAGACAAAUGGUGGGGGUGGGGGUGGGGUGGAGUGGGUACCUGCCCCAGGGCUGGUGUUUUCAGAGGACAGGACUUUGUAGCUCUUACCCCAACACUGUCAGGGCACCUCCAUCUCUUGGGCCUCUAACCUGACUUUACAGGGGAGGAGAAUGAGGCUGAGAGGUGACUUGUCCAAGUAUAUGGGGAUCAAGGUACAAGCCCUUACUGAUUUCCUGGCUCUGAAGGAGGAAAAGGCAACAUCCGGGGCAACAGGCUUGGCCAGACUUGCCCUGGCUCUGCCAUUCCCCCGCUGUGUGACCUUGGGCUGGUUGAUUAACCUCUCUGUGUCCGUGCUUCCUCUUUUGUAAAAUGAUGAUAAUAAUGGUGCCCACCUCACAGAGCUAUCGCAGGGUUUACCCGAGAGCGGCACCUGGAGCUAGGAAGCCUGAUGCAUGUUGUUAGGCUCACUGCCUUCCAAGGGCAAGGGCUCCCAUCGGCUCCAUGGAGCAGGGAGGUCUUCCCUGGGAGGGGCCCCUUGGCUUUGUCCUGUGCAGCGGCUGCAGGUUAUUUUUAACUGAGAGGCCUGCCAGCCCUGCAGUGAGGUUAUUUGGGGCCUGGCCACAGCUGUGCUGGCCUGGUGGCUUAUUUUUGAGGAUGAAGCAGGCCCCAGUGCAGGAAAUAGGAAAACCCUUAUUUUCCACUGGUCUCCUCUUCUCUCCUCUGGAAACAACAGAGUUGUCCUGGGGGCGUCGUCAGGGUGGGGCAGGAUUUCCCUCCCCUCUUGGUGGGGCUGUCACUUCCCCCAGGGUUUGGAUACCCGAAACCAGGUUGAAGUGUCCAAGGGGGCCUCGGGGGAGGCAGCGGAAGCUCCUCCUUCCUGCCAAACCAAGAGCACUGCAACCCCACCUUUUUCUCAGGUGUGAGCCAGAUAGAUGUCAGCUGGGUGGGCCUCUGGUUCCUGGGAAGCAGGGUCACAUCCGCUGUGCUCACCCAGCUCCAAGACCUGUGGAGGCUCCUGGUCCUGCCCAAUUUUAGCCAGUUCCCAAGGAGCCUUGGGGUGUCCCUCCUACAUAAACCUCAGCCCUUCUCUGUGGUCCCCUGAUGAGAAGGCUUCCCUGUGCAGGACAGAUAACUUCCGCGGGGAGUCUUCCUCCCACCCCCAGCCUCCUCCAGCUUUCUAGCUUCUAGCCUCCUGCAUUCACAUGCCGCCCUUCAUGUCAGUGGGCUCCUCUGUCUCCCCACCCUUUUUUGGAACUAAAAUCACAGCUGGCCCCCCUUUGUCUUACACAGAGUAGCUUCCGUCCUCCUGGAGGCUUUGGGGCGCAGACCUGAAAACGUUAGCCACAGUCAGAAGUGUAACUCCUACAGGAAGAUGGUGAGGACCUGGAGAGAGUUUCAAGUUUGAUAAAAUUUUAUUUCCUAAGAUAGCCCCCUUCAAAUAUAGAUGAUUUUUAA
Molecule: long non-coding RNA, 2340 nt
Organism: Hipposideros armiger (great roundleaf bat)
Lineage: Eukaryota; Metazoa; Chordata; Mammalia; Chiroptera; Hipposideridae
Exons: 2
Source: RefSeq, a predicted model, not a curated record